This 300-nucleotide ribosomal RNA is filed under the name uncultured Lactobacillus sp. RNAcentral describes it as "bacterial SSU rRNA". It matches the Rfam family "Bacterial small subunit ribosomal RNA", at positions 486 to 795 of the family's 1533-position model. Lineage: Bacteria; Bacillati; Bacillota; Bacilli; Lactobacillales; Lactobacillaceae. The record is from RNAcentral.
GUAAGAGCAGUGCGAGGAGCGGCGGGAAAGCGGGGUGUUCAAGUGUUAAUCGGAAUUACUGGGCGUAAAGCGUGCGCAGGCGGCUUAUUAAGUCAGAUGUGAAAUCCUUAGGCUCAACCUAGGAACUGCAUGUGAAACUAAUAAACUAGAGUAUCGUAGAGGGAGGUAGAAUUCCAGGUGUAGCGGUGAAAUGCGUAGAUAUCUGGAGGAAUACCAGUGGCGAAGGCGACCUCCUGGACGAAAACUGACGCUCAAGCACGAAAGCAUGGGGAGCAAACAGGAUUAGAUACCCCAGUAGUC